RNAcentral lists this ribosomal RNA (558 nucleotides) under Phomopsis sp. OTU4 TS-2013. Its description in RNAcentral is "eukaryotic LSU rRNA". It matches the Rfam family "Eukaryotic large subunit ribosomal RNA", at positions 63 to 648 of the family's 3401-position model. The record is from RNAcentral. Lineage: Eukaryota; Fungi; Ascomycota; Sordariomycetes; Diaporthales; Diaporthaceae.
AANCANCAGGAUNNCCCUAGUAACGGCGAGUGAAGCGGCAACAGCUCAAAUUUGAAAUCUGGCCUCGGCCCGAGUUGUAAUUUGCAGAGGAUGUUUCUGGCGCGGUGCCUUCCGAGUUCCCUGGAACGGGACGCCACAGAGGGUGAGAGCCCCGUAUGGUCGGACACCAAGCCUGUGUGAAACUCCUUCGACGAGUCGAGUAGUUUGGGAAUGCUGCUCUAAAUGGGAGGUAAAUCUCUUCUAAAGCUAAAUACCGGCCAGAGACCGAUAGCGCACAAGUAGAGUGAUCGAAAGAUGAAAAGCACCUUGAAAAGGGGGUUAAAUAGUACGUGAAAUUGUUGAAAGGGAAGCACUUGUGACCAGACUUGGGCCGGGCGGCUCAUCAGGGGUUCUCCCCUGUGCACUCCGCCCGGCACAGGCCAGCAUCGGUUCUCGUGGGGGGACAAGACCGUCGGGAACGUACACCCUCCGGGGUGUGUUAUAGCCCGGCGGACGAUACCCUCGUGGGGACCGAGGUUCGCGCUCCGCAAGGAUGCUGGCGUAAUGGUCACCAGUGAC